Molecule: ribosomal RNA, 623 nt
Filed under: uncultured bacterium
Lineage: Bacteria
Description: bacterial SSU rRNA
Rfam family: Bacterial small subunit ribosomal RNA
Source: RNAcentral
CGGGGCUUAGCGCCGGAGCUAACGCAAUAAGCACUCCGCCUGGGGAGUACGACCGCAAGGUUGAAACUCAAAGGAAUUGACGGGGGCCCGCACAAGCGGUGGAGCAUGUGGUUUAAUUCGAAGCAACGCGAAGAACCUUACCAGGUCUUGACAUCCCGAUGCUAUUCUUAGAGAUAGGAAGUUACUUCGGUACAUCGGAGACAGGUGGUGCAUGGUUGUCGUCAGCUCGUGUCGUGAGAUGUUGGGUUAAGUCCCGCAACGAGCGCAACCCUUAUUGUUAGUUGCCAUCAUUAAGUUGGGCACUCUAGCGAGACUGCCGGUAAUAAACCGGAGGAAGGUGGGGAUGACGUCAAAUCAUCAUGCCCCUUAUGACCUGGGCUACACACGUGCUACAAUGGUCGGUACAACGAGUUGCGAGCCGGUGACGGCAAGCUAAUCUCUGAAAGCCGAUCUCAGUUCGGAUUGGAGGCUGCAACUCGCCUCCAUGAAGUCGGAAUCGCUAGUAAUCGCGGAUCAGCACGCCGCGGUGAAUACGUUCCCGGGCCUUGUACACACCGCCCGUCACACCACGAGAGUUUGUAACACCCGAGGUCGGUGAGGUAACCUUUUAGGGGCCAGCCGCC